RNAcentral lists this ribosomal RNA (468 nucleotides) under uncultured bacterium. RNAcentral's name for it is "partial 16S ribosomal RNA". It matches the Rfam family "Bacterial small subunit ribosomal RNA", at positions 28 to 507 of the family's 1533-position model. The record is from RNAcentral.
GACGAACGCUGGCGGCGUGCUUAACACAUGCAAGUCGAACGGAAAGGCCCUGCUUUUGUGGGGUGCUCGAGUGGCGAACGGGUGAGUAACACGUGAGUAACCUGCCCUUGACUUUGGGAUAACUUCAGGAAACUGGGGCUAAUACCGGAUAGGAGCUCCUGCUGCAUGGUGGGGGUUGGAAAGUUUCGGCGGUUGGGGAUGGACUCGCGGCUUAUCAGCUUGUUGGUGGGGUAGUGGCUUACCAAGGCUUUGACGGGUAGCCGGCCUGAGAGGGUGACCGGACACAUUGGGACUGAGAGACGGCCCAGACUGCUACGGGAGGCAGCAGUGGGGAAUAUUGCACAAUGGGCGGAAGCCUGAUGCAGCAACGACGCGUGCGGGAUGACGGCCUUCGGGGUGUAAACCGCUUUCGCCUGUGACGAAGCGGGAGUGACGGUAAUGGGUAAAGAAGCACCGGCUAACUACGUG